UGCGAAUUGGGAGAGCAAGGGUUCGAGGU
This 29-nucleotide non-coding RNA is filed under the name Mus musculus (house mouse). The record is from RNAcentral. Lineage: Eukaryota; Metazoa; Chordata; Mammalia; Rodentia; Muridae.